GUCACUCUGGUGGGGGCGGGGCAGGCCGCGCAGCGUGUGACGCCGCGGCCGCCGCGGCCGCCGCGGAUCUGGGGAUUAAUGGGAAAAGUUUUGGCAGGAGCCGGAGGAUUCUACGGAGCCCGCGGGACGGCGGCGGUGGCGCGGAGGGCAGCCACGACAGCGUUGCGUGGUGUUUUGGGGUAUGCACGUGGUACUCACUCAGUGGCUUCUUUUCACCGACAGAUGAGGACAGAUGCACCAAAGAGGAAAGGAUACUGCCUCCAGUCUGAAGAUUUCUUUUCAUGGCUUUUAGAGAAAAACCUCUCAGGAGCUCAGAAAAAAAGAUAUAACAAACAGAUUGAUAAGGAUACGAUGCGACAGAUGCCGUGGUGGAGAUGUGUGUGGGAAAACUGCCGGGAGGGAAGGAACUGCUAAAGGAAGCCUUUAGCCCUCCUCUAAAGGCUUUCAGAGGAGGCUGGUUAAUGGAGCCUUAAGAAAGGCUCAGGGUGAGCUUUUGGCAUCUGGGGUGGGCCUCGCAGGCUGGGCAGAAUUGCAGCAGACUGAGAUGGUGUAGGAAGCACAAGUGUGAUGAAAAGAGCAGCAGCUCAGAUGUGAUUGGGGAAAUCAAGAGUAUUGUUUAUCUAUUGCUUCAUAACAAAUUACCCCAAAACUUAGUGGCGUAAAACAACAUUUAUGAUCUGGCAGUGUCUGUGGGUCAGGAGGCAGUUACACAAGGGCCUGAAUAUUAGGAGGCAGGUGUUUUGCAAGCCGUUUUAGAAGGCUGCCUCCAAUAGCAAGUUGCAGUGAGGAUGGGAUUGACUUGGAGCCGGCUGGAGGUGGGGUGGAGCCAUUAAUGUAGGUAAUCUUACAUGGUUGGCUGGGAGGUUGGGAUUGAUGUGAGAACAUGGGAGCCACGGAAGGCCUCUGAGCAGGAGAAUAAUGUGAUAGGUAUUAUCUAGGACAGUUAAUCUGCUAGGAUUAUACCAGACGGGUCAAAAUGGAGAGUGAUACACAGGUAGAGACUUAGAUUAGGAGAGGUCUGUAUUAACCGAAGUGAAAAGUUUCUGGCCUUUAGUAACAGUUGCUACGCAUGGAGCACCUUCUCUGUACCAUGUACUUUGGCUGUGCUUUCUCAACUCUUCUGUCUUAGAAACGACCACAGAAAGAAGGUAUUACUGAUGUAUAUUGUUUGCAGCUGAGAAAACCAAGCCUCCAAGAGGUUAAGAAACUCGCGUAUGGUGCACAACUAGUAAGUUGCAAAGUGGGCCUCAGGUCUGCCUGGCCUUGAGGACCGUGCCUUUGGGUGGCAGCGUGAGUGGAAAGGUGGGGAUGACUGUGGAGACACAGCCUUGGCCCUUCCCUGGAUGCUGAAGGGAGACGGAGGAGUCUGAUAGCUUGAUUUUUUGAACCUAGGUGGCCAGGACAAAGAUGACACUGUAACAGGAGGAAAAGAGGCCAGUGGGUCGCUGCUGUGGUGGGGGAAGGUGAGUCAUCCUGGAACACUGGGUGCUUGUUGGCAGGGUCCUUCCCAAUUAUAGGGGAUCGUAAAUGGUUUCCAGACUUGGUGUAUGAAGAUGUGCUUUUGGCCAAAAAGGGCUCUAAAAGUGGGAGCUUCUUGGUCAGAGGGUUCUGUGAGGAGGUUGUUUGUUUGAACACUGGGUUUUCGUGUUCCCUCAGCAGUCUGAGUGGGGCCUCUGCCACAUUCUGCUGGUCAGAGCAGUCCCUGGACCAGCCCUGAUUCAAGGAGGCAGGAGUAGCAAGGACAGCCAUCUUUAACCCACUAAGGGCCAGUGAUGGAGAGCAGGGAUUCGAACUCACAGCUGUGUGACUCAGACCCAGGGUUCUUUCUGCUUCCGACUCCUUGGGGCCUGUAGAGCUUGCUGGCUCACGUGUGUUGUUGAAGGGAACUAAUUUUUAUUUUGGCUUCCCAGAGCAGAAGUUGCACUAGUCACCUCUUUUUCACAGGUUAGCCUCCAAGAUCACCAUGCCUGAGAGAACCUUCCAAAAUUGGCUUUGUCUGGGGGAUCUGCUGGCUGUCCCCCUUUGGCACUGAUUGCCGAACACGCCUGGAAUUUCCCCGCUGAGUUUCCCCUCCUGAACUUAGUGCUGGCCUGUGGGAUCCCUGCAGUGCUGCAGCCAGAUGUGCAGACGGGCCCCAUUGCAAGUUGUCCCAGGUGGUGUCUAGUCCAAUGAUUCCCAGGGAAAACUCAGCUGGCAGAUUCACCAGGGAAUUUUGGAAGAAAGGUAGUUUCCUGGGCCUUGUCUCAGGCCUCUCGAAUUAGAAUUUACAAGCAUGAACUCCAGGAAUCUGCGUUUUAAAGCGCCCCAUUGACCUGAGGGGGCAGCCUGGUUGGAGAACCACUGACUUCUCGGAAAGGUGCCUUUGAAGUCACCGAUCAGAGUUCAAGUGGGGCCUGAGAAUGACUGUCCUGAGGGCCUCACACCUCACAACCAGGAAGUGACUCCUGAAAGCCUCCAGGUUUCUGACUGCAUCUGCCCAAAGGAUGCUCUUUUGCAUUUUUAAAAAAUUUAUUUUAUUUAUUUAUUUUUAGCUGCGUUGGGUCUUCAUUGCUUCGUGCAGACUUUCUCUAGUUGCGGCGAGUGGGGGCUACUCUUCGUUGCGGUGCGCAGGCUUCUCAUUGCGGUAGUUUCUCUUGUUGCGGAGCACGGGCUCUAGGCGCGCAGGCUUCAAUAGUUGUGGCUCACAGGCUCAGUAGUUGUGGUGCAUGGGCUUAGUUGCUGCAUGGCAUGUGGGAUCUUCCUGGACCAGGGAUCAAACCCAUGUCCCCUGCAUUGGCAGGCGGAUUCUUAACCACUGCACCACCAGGGAAGUCCCCAUAUUUGGU
Physeter macrocephalus (sperm whale) is the source of this 2825-nucleotide long non-coding RNA. RefSeq lists it as uncharacterized. The transcript is spliced from 4 exons. NCBI's taxonomy places the organism in Eukaryota, Metazoa, Chordata, Mammalia, Artiodactyla, Physeteridae. The record is from RefSeq and is a predicted model, not a curated record.